Molecule: ribosomal RNA, 253 nt
Filed under: uncultured bacterium
Lineage: Bacteria
Description: partial 16S ribosomal RNA
Rfam family: Bacterial small subunit ribosomal RNA
Source: RNAcentral
CACGUAGGGGGCGAGCGUUGUCCGGAGUUACUGGGCGUAAAGGGCAUGCAGGCGGUCCGACACGUUUUGUGUGACAGCGGGUGGCUUAACUACCCGAGGAUGCGAAAGACGGUUGGACUUGAGGACUCGAGAGGGACACGGAAUUCCGGGUGGAGUGGUGAAAUGCGUAGAGAUCCGGGGGAACACCGAAGGCGAAGGCAGUGUCCUGGCGAGUGACUGACGCUGAGGUGCGAAAGCCAGGGGAGCGAACGGG